ACCUCUAGCAUAACUAGUAUUAGAGGCACUGCCUGCCCAGUGACCAUGUUAAACGGCCGCGGUAUCCUGACCGUGCAAAGGUAGCAUAAUCACUUGUUCUCUAAAUAAGGACUAGUAUGAAUGGCUAAACGAGGACUUUACUGUCUCUCAUCUGUAAUCAGUGAAAUUGACCUUCCCGUGAAAAGGCGGGAAUAAUAAAAUAAGACGAGAAGACCCUAUGGAGCUUCAAUUACCAGCUUAAAAUUAUCCACACACACACUUCUAAGGAAAUAAAAACUAAUUAUAUAAGCAACUAAUUUUGGUUGGGGUGACCUCGGAGAAAAAAAUAACCUCCGAGCGGUUUAAAUCCAGACUGACAAGUCUAAAUAAUCCAUCAAUUGAUCCAAUAUUUGAUCAACGGAACAAGUUACCCUAGGGAUAACAGCGCAAUCCUAUUCAAGAGUCCCUAUCGACAAUAGGGUUUACGACCUCGAUGUUGGAUCAAGACAUCCCAAUGGCGCAGCUGCUAUUAAC
RNAcentral lists this ribosomal RNA (513 nucleotides) under Smutsia gigantea (giant pangolin). Its description in RNAcentral is "Manis gigantea (giant pangolin) partial 16S ribosomal RNA". It matches the Rfam family "Bacterial large subunit ribosomal RNA", at positions 1818 to 2569 of the family's 2925-position model. Lineage: Eukaryota; Metazoa; Chordata; Mammalia; Pholidota; Manidae. The record is from RNAcentral.